Molecule: long non-coding RNA, 687 nt
Filed under: Olea europaea (common olive)
Lineage: Eukaryota; Viridiplantae; Streptophyta; Magnoliopsida; Lamiales; Oleaceae
Description: long non-coding RNA (OEUR_LNC011359)
Source: RNAcentral
ACCAUUUUAAAAUAUCACACAUGGCACCCAAAAUAUCACGGUCGGUUCGGCACCGGGAAUAAUUAAGCAAUUGGUUGAUAACAGUGUAUAUCGGAAGGUUGUGAAUAAAACUAUAGACUAACAUAGUGUGGAAAAUAUUACAAGAGUUACGCGCAAAGAAAAACGCGUAGAAUGAAGCUCAUCUUCUCAGGAAGCUCAAGGACGUAGAGGUACAUAUAUAGACCCCAGUUUUUGAGCACUUGAAUAAUUUUCAAAUAAACUUGUGUAGGUUGCGAUGAAUAUGAAGUUAAUUUGAGGAUACAGGUACAUGCUUUGUGUUUGAUUAGCAAAUUGCCAGAUAGUUUGAAGAUUCUUGUUGUGUCUCUUAGUCUUACUAAUUCCACAGUCCACGUCUGAUGGUGCUCUCUUUGAAGAUGGUAUGUUAAAUGAAUGGUGAUAUAAUAUCUUUUCAAGAAAAUGAUGUGAGAUCCUGCAGUGAAGAAAUAAGGAGAUAUCUUUCUAUAUUGAAAUAUCAGUUGAGAAAAUCAUAGGCAAAUUCCUGAAUUGCCCCGUAAGAAUGUGAAGUAGACAGGAGCAAGGUCUAACGGCACAAGAUCGUAUGCUAAUUGAUUAGUGCCGAGGAAAGAACAGAAGCAAAAAGUCAUAGAAUAAGUUGCAUUAAAAAGUCAAGCCAAAGAAAAUUCUUUA